UUCUUGGGAACUAUAAUGAUAACUUUAUGUUGUGACCUUCUGUAGACUUGACUUGUCCUCUAAAUCGAUUUUCUUGGCAUCAGAAGCAGCUUCAUGGUUAAUUAAGUUUUCUUUCAUGCUUACAAACAAUUUCGUAAUGCCCGGUCAAGUUAAGAUGCAGCAGAAAGUUGGAUACAGGCAAAGUGAAGCAGUCCUAGUGUUUCUGCCUAUGUGUCUGUGUCUUAAUUUUUUUUUCUGAAGCCCAAAUUGACCUUGUUUUSUGAAAGGUUUGCAAAGUGUUAACAGCAGCAAGAUGCUUUUUCUGCAAUAUAUUGUCAUGGAAAAUCAGCACAAGACCUUAACUCUGGUUAAGAGAAGAAUUAGUAACCUGUUGUCUGAGGAAGUCUGGGAACUAAAAGUGACUUCAUGUUAUCAUGCAAAGCAACUUUAGUGCUAUGAAAGCCUGCCAUAAUUUCUUCCUAUUAUCUCCCUGUAUCUUCAGAAUUAUUUUUUUCCUACUAAAUGGAAUUUUUCUUUUACUGUGUUCAGCAAGAGGGGAAAAUAAACCUGGAAAUUAUCUGUGUUUGCAAAUCCUCCAACACUUGUUCUUAAGUGUCUCUAUAAAAAAAGUAAACAUUUGACCUAAUUUUUAAGGAGCUGAAAAACUUGGCUAAAUGCCAGUGAUUCUUGCUUUGUGUUCACUAUAUUGAAAUGUCAUAAUGAUCAUGUGUGCUGGUUUCAAUGGGAAUUUUUGUAUUUAUCUUUGCUUUUACUUAUCAACUUUGUAUCUCAGUACUGCAGAAGCAAUCUUGCAAAAAACUGGAUGUACAGAAAAGACGUGUAGAAGGCAAAGGAUGGGAGACCAUGGGGUGUUCUACUGGAAGAAGUAGACACUAAUUGAUUUUACUGAUCACAUGGAGUGAUUACAUAAUUGUUAUUUUAAUUUAGCUGAAAAAAAAGUUCUUCCAAAGCAUAGUGUAGUGCAAAGUAGCCUUUAUUUUUGCUCUCUGAUUAAAAUCUUACUGUCAUGGUAAUGCCACAGCUAUGCUUUAAGGAGAAAGACAUCUCUUUUCCAGAAAAUAUGAAAUAGCAGUGAUAUGCUGCAACACACAUCUUAUACUGUGCUUCCUGAAUUGCCUUAUGAUUGUUGAAUGGACACCAUUUACACACAGCAGUUUCAGGGCUUGCGUUUUCACUUCAAAUCUUCACAAGGAUCACAUGAAAAUAGAAGCAAAUCUGUCUGGUGAUGAGCCAAUGCAAAUAGAUGUUUCAGCCUACCAGAUGCAGCCUUUAAUUAUUUUCCCUGAUGAGACUGAUGCUCUUGCUCCUGUGCGGUGCAGCAAACAAGACCAAGUUCAUAGGAACAGGAGAUGAGGUGCCAUGAAACAGAUCUAAUACAGGAUUCCCCACUGUGGAAGACUUCUAGAAAUCUGCCAUAAUUAAUCAGGUAAUACUUCAAAGGAAGUCUUGCUAUGAUCAAAGAUAAAUUUUCUGGA
Molecule: long non-coding RNA, 1475 nt
Organism: Malurus melanocephalus (red-backed fairy wren)
Lineage: Eukaryota; Metazoa; Chordata; Aves; Passeriformes; Maluridae
Exons: 3
Source: RefSeq, a predicted model, not a curated record